UCUGUCAGGUGUGCUCCCGCUCAGCCAUCUCCAAGCCUGACAUGUAAAGUUUUUGUAAUGGCAUUUUCUCCCUCUCACUGAUGACUUUUCGCUAAGCUUGGCGUUUUUAAGAUGAACCACCUGUAAACUGCUUCGACAACAGGAGAUACAUGAACUUCCCUGUGACAGUUUCUCCAGCCCACAGAGGCCCUGUGAGUUGGUGAAACUGCUGCUGAUAUGGAUCUGGAACUCUACUUUGAGAACAUUAAGAGAACAUCAAACCUC
Long non-coding RNA from Melanotaenia boesemani (Boeseman's rainbowfish), 264 nucleotides. RefSeq lists it as uncharacterized. NCBI's taxonomy places the organism in Eukaryota, Metazoa, Chordata, Actinopteri, Atheriniformes, Melanotaeniidae. The transcript has 3 exons. The record is from RefSeq and is a predicted model, not a curated record.